This 253-nucleotide ribosomal RNA is filed under the name uncultured bacterium. Its description in RNAcentral is "partial 16S ribosomal RNA". It matches the Rfam family "Bacterial small subunit ribosomal RNA", at positions 524 to 776 of the family's 1533-position model. The record is from RNAcentral.
UACGUAGGGCGCAAGCGUUGUCCGGAAUUAUUGGGCGUAAAGAGCUCGUAGGCGGUUUGUUACGUCCGCUGUGAAAACCCAGGGCUUAACCCUGGGCUUGCAGUGGAUACGGGCAGACCAGAGGUAGGUAGGGGAGAAUGGAAUUCCCGGUGUAGCGGUGAAAUGCGCAGAUAUCGGGAGGAACACCGGUGGCGAAGGCGGUUCUCUGGGCCUUACCUGACGCUGAGGAGCGAAAGCGUGGGGAGCGAACAGG